Molecule: RNA transcript, 1024 nt
Organism: Vitis vinifera (wine grape)
Lineage: Eukaryota; Viridiplantae; Streptophyta; Magnoliopsida; Vitales; Vitaceae
Exons: 8
Source: RefSeq, a predicted model, not a curated record
UUGCAAUUUUGUCCUAGGUGGUAUGCCAAAAGAUUUCUACAUCCUGACAUUGUGGCGCCAUAUGACUAUAUAUUUAUCUGGGAUGAAGAUCUAGGAGUUGAGCAUUUUAAUGCAGAAGAAUAUAUAAGACUAGUGAGGAAAUAUGGCUUGGAGAUUUCACAACCUGGUUUAGAACCUAAUAAAGGGUUAACAUGGUAGAUGACAAAAAGAAGAGGUGAUCGAGAAAUUAAUGGAAUGACAUUUUCUCCUUGUUUUUCCCCCAUUUUUCUACCAGAGAAACAGAGGAGAAACCGGGUUGGUGCCCUAACCCACAUUUGCCUCCCUGUGCAGCAUAUGAAAAGCUUUGAGCAGUUUAUUGAGAUCAUGGCUCCUGUAUUUUCUAGAGAUGCAUGGCGGUGUGUGUGGCAUAUGCUUUAGAAUGACCUGGUACAUGGUUGGGGUCUUGACUUUGCUCUCAGAAGAUGUGUAGAGGAACCUGCCCAUGAGAAAAUUGGAGUUGUAGAUUCUCAAUGGAUCGUUCAUCAAACUGUUCCCUCGCUUGGGAACCAGGGGCAAGCGGAGAAUGGGAAGGCACCAUGGCAAGGGGUGAGGGAGAGGUGUAAAAAAGAGUGGACCAUGUUUCGAGUUCGCAUGACCAAUGCCGAAAAAACAUAUUACAAGGAGAUGGGAAUUAAUCCUACCAAUUCCACAGCUGACUAGGGGAUGACCCUCACAGAAGCUGACCUGUAUACAAUCAUAAUUACCACUGUUCUUAGGGUUUAUUUUAUUUUAUUUUAUUUAAUAAUAGCGAUCAUUUUUUAGUAUCCCAGAGGUUACUGAUGAGAGUGCUUUGAUCUUCCAUGCUGCUAGAAGUGAAUUGGGUACCCGGGUGGCAGGUGAAAGAGAAAAAAAGUCAAUUAUUCGUUUCUAUCAUCGUCCAUUUUGUUCUCUUUCACACAUUGAUAUGUAGACAUUAAAUGGGCAUGAAAGUUCCUCCUUCAUGGGCCAUUAUAGAUGAAAUAUGAAUCAAAGUUAAUGCUAGCAA